GGGCCCAUAGCUCAGCUGGUUAGAGCGCUACCUUGACAUGGUAGAGGUCGGCAGUUCGAAUCCGCCUGGGCCCACCA
Molecule: transfer RNA, 77 nt
Filed under: Bdellovibrionales bacterium
Lineage: Bacteria; Pseudomonadati; Bdellovibrionota; Bdellovibrionia; Bdellovibrionales
Description: tRNA-Val
Rfam family: tRNA
About the family: Transfer RNA (tRNA) molecules are approximately 80 nucleotides in length.
Source: RNAcentral